GUGUGCCUAGCAGGCCUUUCCAGGAGCAAGUCUUUUCAACAUAUACUUACCCCACGGAAAGAGAUGGUUCUUGAUGUUUAAGUUACAACUUGUUAGGAUCAAGGGACCUUAGGCAACACUUCCUAGGUGCUCAUGAAAAGUCCAGUUAGCCAAACAGCAUCUACAGUGGCCAGAUGCGUUCAUAUCUUGGCCUCAGAAGAAGCUGGGAAGUCCCAGUGCAACUGUCUUGAAGUCUGUUUCCCAUAUCCAGAGAGAGGAGUAUCAGGAGCCUUAAGGCGUGUGCACAAAGGUUGCCAGAGCCGUAAUUUCAGACUGCAUCAUUUAAUAAAAUACAAUAAGAGGAAUUAAGAAGAAAGGCUGCAGUGAACAUCCUGCUUAUUAUCUCUGUAAUGAGAGGACUAUUUUUUCUCCCAUCAGUUGCCAAUGAUGGGGUUUUUUAUUUCCUUUCAUCUGAGCACAAUUGUGAUAUUCAAUGAGAGGGGUUGUGAAGUGCCACUUGAAAGCCAAACAUUCAAUUCCUCCUAAUUCACAAGGGAGAGAAGGAUCAAGUUGUGCAGCUGGGAGGUGAUGUUUCUUCCUAGCAGCUGUCACUGGAGAGACAUGUGCAAACCAUAGAAGUCAUUUGUCACAAGAGCCCCAUCCCGAAUGUGCUAUGUGCCUCUCCCUUGCUAACGUGACAUGAAAUAGUGAGGCUUUCAAACUCAAGUUCAGAGACUUCGCUGUGUUGACGUGGGCAAAAUGGAAUGAAGAACCGAGGCAAUUAUGUGGAUAAAUCAGGCCCAAAAUAUCCUACCACUGAGAGAAAAAAAUGUCUGUGGCUCAAAUUAUUCAAAGUGACUGUCCAUGCUCAUCAAUUUAUCAGGAUAAUGAAUUUUAUCCUACACUUUGUCACUAGAGAUAUAUCUCCAGUCUAUGAAUUUGAAUGACUUUGUGAUAUUUUAUUUCACUGGAAAUUGCAAUAGGAGUUGAAUGAGCAAGCACUGUAUUAAAAGAUUGCUACUGAAGCUGUGAUAACAGUUCAAGAGAAUUUAAGCUUCAUUACUCCCUAGCUAGCUGGUAAGACUGUUGCAGUGGGGGUCCAGAGGGAUUAUGUGAAAACUGUUGAGAAUUGGAUGCUUGUAACUAAUCUCAGUCUCUCCCAUUUAGUAACCCAUUACCCCCCAAAAUAUCUUGGUCCGUUGCUCUUAACUAGUUUUCUGGUCAUUUGACAACCAAUGAAAUCAUUGUGAAAAUUUCAUUAAAAUUUAUAGAAAGCUGAUGUAUUAGGAUUAUAUGUGUAUAUAUAAAUGUUACCUUCAUGUAUGUUAAUAUUUAUUAAUACCUCUUAUAUUUCAUUAAAGAGAUAAAAGUUUCAAAUACAUAACGCAAGGUCAGUACAUAAAGCAAUGCCUGUGCAUACAUCGGCAUUGGCUUCUGCUUUGUACCCUUUGCAUACUCCAGGCCUUGUUGCUUCUGGAGACAUCUGAAUCAAGGUCAGGAGUCCAGGGCUCUCCCGAAGGGCAAAGGGAGAACUUCUGAACAGUUAGCUCUACUACCUCUGAUGAAGUAGUAGUAGAGUUACUACUGCCUCUACUACCUCCUCGGUCCUGCUGCAGCUUCUUAAACAUUAGGGACCGCCUGCCACUCAGAAGUUAUAAAUCAAGAACAUGCUCACUGAAGCAAUAGGAUACUACACAAGAAGCAACAGCCAAGAUCAAUACCAUUUUUAUCUUUAUCCAUAAAAUUAUAACAUAAGAAGUACCUUGAAGAAUGACCUAUGACAAUACUAUUAUGAUAUUUUGUUAGUUUUUUUUAUUUUUAAAAUAAACAAUGGAAAUAUAAGUGUUUCCUGAUCAAAACAGAAAUAUUUUAUGUAAUAUUCUGGAAAAAUAUCAAGAAAAAAGUAAAAAUGGCCACUGGCAAUAUAACCAUUUAAACCCUGGAUUUUUUGGGUCUAAUAUGGAUGAAAUAGAAAUGCAUACACAUGUAUAAUUUAGAGCUCAAUAAGUGUUGGCUAGAACUGGUUUUAGGGUCGUAAACAUGAGUCCCUCUUUCACAAUAACUGCUGACGUACAUAUUUGAAGCUACUUUAUACACGAUGACAUUUUCCCAUAAAGGCUAAAUUUAUAUACAUGCACCAGAGAGUGAUCUGUUACCAUCUGUGCUGUUAUUUUAUUGCAAAGCAGUGUGUGUGUGUGUGUGCAUACGUGUGUGUAUGUUUACAUAUGCGUUUUUGUCUACACAAUGGUAGAAGUACAGGUAAGAACAUGUAAUUACAAAAACCUUUCAGGCCUGACACACACCUUCGUUAAACUGAGUUCUAGGCUAUAACAGGCGGUGUUGAGAGCUCAGGAAGGUAUUGGUCACAGCAGUGAACAGUGUAGCAUUUUCUAAUUUCUUAGCUGAUGUGCAGCAUACAAUUUCCAUCAUUGUGGAACUUAAUAGCCAGCUCAUUUAUUGACAAUCUCAGCAAAAAGGGUAGGAAAAUCAAUUCUGAACAUGAAUUAUGGCAUUUCUUUGAAUAUCAGCCAUUUCUGGUCUAAAAUCUGUACCACGGUGUCCUGUUUCUGAGUGGUAGGUUAUUAAUGAAUUCCAGUUAUACUUGUUUUCUGGCUUGUUAUAAUUUUUUCAGGAAGAUGAUAGCAGUUCCUGGCACAGUAACCUUUCCAAUGUUCUGUUCCUUGAUUUGCUGAUAAUGCCUGUCCUUGGUGCUAGUAGAUGAGGGAAAGGUAUAUAGAAGGGUUGAUCAAAGGACAGUGAUUAUUAAAAAAAUCAAUUAGCUGAAUAAUUAAAGAGUCGAUACUGUCUCAUGCGGUGAAGAUAGUAACACAAAGAAGAAACUAUAAUGUCAAAGCAUUUUUUGGAAAUGAGUGUUGGAGAAAAGGAAAUUAUAUCAGCCUACUUGCUUUCAUUAUAGUCUGAAAAUGGCCUUUGGCACUUGUACUUAGCUGUCCUAUUCCUGCUGUAAUCUCUGUUAAGAAUAGCAAAUCAAUAUGGAAUUUUUUGAGGAGCUAAGCUAAUCUGUUUUUAUUUAUUUAUUUUUUUUCCGAUACCAGGAAUCGAACUCACAACCUUGCGCUUGCCAGGCAGGCGCUGUGCUGCUGAGCUAAAUCCCCAGCCCCCACGAGCUAAGCUAAUCUGGCAAGCAUGUUCCUUUUAAAAUAAAACUGCUACAUUAGUCAUAUUUAAUUGUACCCAGCAGAAUCCAAUAUCAUAGUGAUUUGAUAACCAGCAUCAUCCAGUUAAAAUUACAAUAACGAAUCUGUGAGUCUGACAUUUUACCUUCCUUUUUUUCUCAUUUCUCCCAUAAAAUUUUUAUCCUAAUGAAGCGCAUAUUUUUCUUGUUUGUCUUUUAUUGAUCAUCCUACCCACUUCUCUGCUCUAAAAGUAUAUUUCUAAAUUAUAAGGGUUGUUUGGUAAUGUUCAAAUCUCUAAACACUAACAUGUUUUUUCUAUUAGUUUCAUUUCUGUCAACUGGUAAUUUACAAAAUCAAGGCAAAUAUAUUCCAUUUUUGAACAUUAGUAUUGUAAUGUAUUAAAAUUCAUUGCAAAAUAAUUUCUUCAUGAGAAGAAUCAUGACUCUGUGUGCAGCUCUUGGGAAGUUGAAUCUGCAGUGUCUUGAAAGCAGUCAAGAUGGUUGAUAAGAUGCAGUUCCUCCAUCAACAAGGUCAUUGAACAGAGACAUCCAGUGUUUCUUUUCCCCUCACUAAAAAGAACCAAAGCAAGAGGUGUACCACUGAAUAUCAACAUGAGUUACCCUGGGAAAAUACUGGUACUCAGCAGUGGAUAAACAGAAGUGUUGUAAAAUCCAAACACCAGAGACACAGCAAAAGAAAAAAAAUAUCCCAACACUUGUCACUUGGCUGCACAGGUGGGAGAGAGUCUCUCAUCUGCAGGGGUAAAGAUGAAGAAGAGAGUCACAAAAAACUUUAUCAGUGAAGAUACCGGCAAUUCCAGCUCUUGGUAAGUUUUGCUCCCUUGCAUGCUGAGAGCCUAAAAAGAUAAGACACCUGAAAUCUGCACUGUAGUCUGGUUUGGGAUAAGAAAUUACCUUCAUCCCACAAGCCAAUUUUUCCAGCACCAUUUAUUAAAGAGGCUAUCUUUCUUCCACUGAGCUUGUUUGGCCCCUUUAUUGAAGACUAGGUGGUUGAGUGUGUUUUUGGUUGUGUCUGUUUCUUCCAGUCUGUUCCAUUGAUCCUCAGGCCUGUUUUUUAGCUGGUACCAUGCUGAUUUUAUUACAGUAGCUUUGUAGUAUAAUUUCAGGUCAGGGAUUUUAAUUCCAUCUGACUUGUCUUUGUUGCCCAGGACUGCUUUUGCUAUUCUGGGUCUCUUCUGGUUCCAGAUGAAUUUUAGGAAUAUUUUCUCUAGAUCUGUGAGGUAUGCUAGCGGUAGUUUAAUGAGAACUGCAUUGAAUCUGUACAACAAUUUCGGUCGUAUGGCCAUUUUCACAAUGUUGGUUCUUCCUGUCCAUGAACAAGGAAUGUUUCUGCAUUUAC
Molecule: long non-coding RNA, 4475 nt
Filed under: Chinchilla lanigera (long-tailed chinchilla)
Lineage: Eukaryota; Metazoa; Chordata; Mammalia; Rodentia; Chinchillidae
Description: lncRNA (ENSCLAG00000026750.1)
Source: RNAcentral